RNAcentral lists this ribosomal RNA (460 nucleotides) under uncultured Treponema sp. Its description in RNAcentral is "partial 16S ribosomal RNA". It matches the Rfam family "Bacterial small subunit ribosomal RNA", at positions 341 to 792 of the family's 1533-position model. The record is from RNAcentral. Lineage: Bacteria; Pseudomonadati; Spirochaetota; Spirochaetia; Treponematales; Treponemataceae.
ACGGAAGGCAGCAGCUAAGAAUAUUCCGCAAUGGACGAGAGUCUGACGGAGCGACGCCGCGUGGAUGAUGAAGGUCGGAAGAUUGUAAAAUCCUUUUAUAACUGAGGAAUAAGCAGUGUGAGAGAAACGCAUUGUGGUGACUGUAGGUUAUGAAUAAGCAACGGCUAAUUACGUGCCAGCAGCCGCGGUAACACGUAAGUUGCGAGCGUUGUUCGGAAUUAUUGGGCGUAAAGGGCAUGUAGGCGGUUUUGCAAGCUUGGUGUGAAAUCUCGGAGCUCAACUCCGAAAUUGCGUUGAGAACUGCAUGACUGGAGUCACUGAGGGGCAAUCAGAAUUCCAGGUGUAGGGGUGAAAUCUGUAGAUAUCUGGAAGAAUACCAAUGGCGAAGGCAGGUUACCAGCAGAUGACUGACGCUGAGGUGCGAAGGUGCGGGGAGCAAACAGGAUUAGAUACCCUGGUA